This 465-nucleotide ribosomal RNA is filed under the name Vreelandella stevensii. RNAcentral's name for it is "partial 16S ribosomal RNA". It matches the Rfam family "Bacterial small subunit ribosomal RNA", at positions 338 to 795 of the family's 1533-position model. The record is from RNAcentral. Lineage: Bacteria; Pseudomonadati; Pseudomonadota; Gammaproteobacteria; Oceanospirillales; Halomonadaceae.
CCUACGGGGGGCAGCAGUGGGGAAUAUUGGACAAUGGGGGCAACCCUGAUCCAGCCAUGCCGCGUGUGUGAAGAAGGCCCUCGGGUUGUAAAACACUUUCAGUGAGGAAGAACGCCUGGUGGUUAAUACCCAUCAGGAAAGACAUCACUCACAGAAGAAGCACCGGCUAACUCCGUGCCAGCAGCCGCGGUAAUACGGAGGGUGCGAGCGUUAAUCGGAAUUACUGGGCGUAAAGCGCGCGUAGGUGGCUUGAUAAGCCGGUUGUGAAAGCCCCGGGCUCAACCUGGGAACGGCAUCCGGAACUGUCAAGCUAGAGUGCAGGAGAGGAAGGUAGAAUUCCCGGUGUAGCGGUGAAAUGCGUAGAGAUCGGGAGGAAUACCAGUGGCGAAGGCGGCCUUCUGGACUGACACUGACACUGAGGUGCGAAAGCGUGGGUAGCAAACAGGAUUAGAUACCCUUGUAGUC